UCCAGGCAAGCCGGAGGCGGCGGUGGGUGGCAGCCCUUCCUGCACGCUCGAGUUGGUGAGCAGAGAGGGGUCGUUAGCCCUGCCAGUAUGAAGGCAAGGCAGAGAUGCACCUUACAGACUAACUAAAUCAGAGGCGUAUCAGCUUUGGCAGCCCUGCGCUGACUUAGGCACCUCUGAUUUAGUCUAUAAGGUGCAUCCGUGCCCGGUCUUCUGCCCCAGGUGAAUGCGCUUGGCCGGGGGGAAACGUAACAGCCUGGGUUAAACUGGGCGUCGGACGCCUGCGCUGCUGGUUCCUUGAGCUUUAUGAAUCUCUGAGCCCGACUCCACGAACGACAAGUCGUCCAUACAGGAGGGAAGGGCCAUCACGUAGGCAUGAAGGGACAGCUUGCAAGGGCUGAAGCUUUGGGGUAGAGAAGAGCCAACUGGAUAGCUGGCGGGAACCUGGGCCCAGCUUACGGCAUCGAGGGUUUAUGGCAGAGGGGCAAGUUCAUACAAAAUGAGAGGUCUGAGCAGAUCCUCGGGUGCCGUCUGUUGGCCCAGCUGCACCUAGAUUGCAAGAGAGACGCUCGGCUGGUGCAAAUCAUUUCUGGCUGGAAAGGCCUGAACAACAUCAUCUGAAUUUGAGGCCUAUUCUUGCAAAAUGCCCCUUCAUGGAUUGCAAAGAGAAACCGGGAGCUCUCAGCACGUCACGGGAUAGUGCCACGCUUAGGAGAUGUCAUUCGUGUUGUCGGAGCGUGUGCCGGGUUGGAGGCCUCUGAAAAUCCCACCUGCUUCACAAUGGGGUGGGAUUUUCCACUUGCCUUUUGUUCGUGUCACAAGGGAAGUCUGGUGACUUCUGUCCUGUGGAAUUGGCCUUUCUGUGGCAGCUAAUGGAAGGCCACAGGGAAACCCCCGAUUAAGAGCUGAAUCUGGCACCGGGUUUGAAAAUCUGGAUCGUUCUGGGAGCUACAGUCAUCCUUUAAGUCUCCAAAUUCACCUCUGGUGCAACUCCACCCAUUUUGGCCUGUGGACUUGAGUAACAUUUGGGCUAAUGUUUUUAUUCAAACUCUGAAACAAAUCUGCCCAUCUCAUAGCGUCAGCGAGACUAUUAAGGGGAUAGAUAGUAAGGUAUUGGGUAAUGGGCAUGAGAAAUAUUAUUUUUUUAGAUAUUGCAGCACUCCUGUUCAUAGACCCGGAGAGAAAAAAGGGCAGCUUGUCUGCAAUUUUUGUGUGCACCUAUGCAAGUAAAUUCAUCCUGAUGCGGUGAAUGAGGAAUUUAGCAUUUUGCAGGCAUGGUACAGAUGUAACUGCGUGUUAGAAGGUGUCACCGCCUCUGCUCAAACUCCGUUUUGACUCAGCACCUCGUACAAGUUAAGGUCUUGUCUGCACAAGAAAGUGCUCCCGUUUAGCUAAGUUAAUUUGUAAAGUGGUUUAGUUAAACCGCUCCCACCCUCUUCUGAUAGCCACUUAUUCUAGGUGAAGAGUCUGACUCGGUCCUAUACCUCCCCAGUUUCAGCCCAAUCCAUACAACCCCCUCUUGAACAGAUUGAAGGGGUUGCCACGCAAACAGGUUGUCCUGAUUUAACUCAGUUGGUUUCUAAACUGAUUUAAUGACGUGUAGAUGCACCUUUCUCAUGGAGGCAAGUAGUAACGUUGUCAAAGGCAUCUUCACUGAGAAGCCUGAAUCCAGUUUUUUAAAGGUCUGGGGAAAUGAUUGUGUUUGAGUCCACCAAAAGUUGAGUACAGAGGCUGCAGAGCAGUUCUGGGUGGCAGAAGGGGACGUGCUGGUUGAUGGCUUCUUGUGGUGGCCAUGCCAGUAACCUGCAAAGGAUGUGGUUAUAGAAGCUGUUAUGUGGAUUUUCUACAGCAAAACCCUCCUUGCAAUCAGCUCUUGUUUAAUCCCACCUGUCUCCAAGGCUUUUCCUAACCAAUGGUCCCUGCAAGGGGACCCUUGUAUCCCUCUGUGACUCACCAUCGCAGUCAGAGAGCCAAUUGUUUCUCCGUGUACAGGGCGCGCUAAUGAGGAGCCCGCGCUGCUGGGGAGCAGCAGUGGAGCCGUAUUUGGACUCGGAGCUGUAUUUCCUACCAGACCUCUCUAUUUGAUGAUGGCUAGUGAAGCGGUUCUGUACAGCUUAAUUUCUCCAGAGGACCUUCACUUUUGUCCCGUGACCGACUGACACGGACACACGCAAAGAGCACGUGAGUGGGCCGCGCAUCAGGAUGGGCUGCGAGCACACGUAUAAGCCCAUGUUCACCCAUUGACAUCUCUUCUUCUCAUCCCCGCAAACUCAAAUUUACCAGCAAGGGCAUGAGGGGUAGCUACGACUAGAGCAAAUUCAUAAUGAUUAUUCAUGUUCAUACUUGGUUGCAGCAUUUGUCUGAUUUUACCCCAGCAUACGGCUGCUCAGAGAUAUGCAUGUUUUGCUGACUCCGAAGCAAUGCUUAUGACAGUUUUAAUGACAGCAAUGGCAAUCGUUGGCCCAUCUCUUGCUCAUAGGAGGAGAGGAUGGGAAGCUUUUCAACAGACUGACCCAGUCUGCCGGUCUGCCAUCAGGAUCAUCGUCUACCCUCCUAUCCUUCAACCAAACCCCAGCCACACUAAUGGGUUCCACGCAGACGACCCAGCCACAGGUCACAGAUCUACAUUAAAGAACAUUUAAUUUGCAAGCAACAGCAUUUGCAGAGAACAGCACGUGAUGAUUUAGAGAUGCUUCGUUCUCAGCCUCCGAGGAGUACUAAGCUCCAAAAGCCGGGGACUGGCUUGUGCGUGCUGGGCAGCGCCGGACACCUUGUAAGGGUUGUAGCCCUCGAAGACAUGUUUUCGGACUCUUGGGUGGGCAAGCUUAGAGACCCUUGCAGAUGCCAUGGCAUUCUUGGCUCCUGCAGACACAGGCCAUGGGACUAGCUUUUCGUGGCGGUAGCUUGGAUGUUCCAUUUUUGGCUCUACAAGGAACAAAUCAUGGGGUAGAGAAAGAAACGGCUUGUUAAAAGGACUCUGAGAUUCAGUAUUGCGAAA
Alligator mississippiensis (American alligator) is the source of this 2995-nucleotide long non-coding RNA. RefSeq lists it as uncharacterized. The transcript is spliced from 2 exons. The record is from RefSeq and is a predicted model, not a curated record. Lineage: Eukaryota; Metazoa; Chordata; Crocodylia; Alligatoridae.